This 543-nucleotide ribosomal RNA is filed under the name Paratelphusula gibbosa. Its description in RNAcentral is "partial 16S rRNA". It matches the Rfam family "Bacterial large subunit ribosomal RNA", at positions 1819 to 2625 of the family's 2925-position model. Lineage: Eukaryota; Metazoa; Arthropoda; Malacostraca; Decapoda; Potamidae. The record is from RNAcentral.
GUCUAUUUGAAGUGGUAAAUAGUCUGGCCUGCCCACUGAUUAGAAUAAUUUAAGGGCCGCGGUAUUUAAACUGUGCAAAGGUAGCAUAAUCAUUAGAUUUUUAAUUGAAAUCUUGUAUGAAUGGUUGGACAAAAGUAAAACUGUCUCUAUAUUAAUUUUGAAUUUAACUUUUAAGUGAAAAGGCUUAAAUAUAUUAGAGGGACGAUAAGACCCUGUAAAACUUUAUGUUGUAAUUUUAUUUAAUUAAAUUUGUAAAUAAAGAUUUAAUUUUAUUAUACAUUAUGUUGGGGAGACAAAGGUAAAAGAUUUUUUAACUGCCUUGAAUUUAAACAAAUAUUUAUGAAUUUUUAAGUGAUCCUUUAUAAAGAUUAAAAGAUUAAGUUACUUCAGGGAUAACAGCGUUAUUUUUUUUGAGAGUUCUUAUCGAAAAAAGAGUUUGCGACCUCGAUGUUGAAUUAAAAUAUCUCUGUGGUGCAGAAGUUACAAGAGAAGGUCUGUUCGACCUUUAAAUUUUUACAUGAUUUGAGUUCAAACCGGCGUGAG